Astatotilapia calliptera (eastern happy) is the source of this 1358-nucleotide long non-coding RNA. Lineage: Eukaryota; Metazoa; Chordata; Actinopteri; Cichliformes; Cichlidae. The record is from Ensembl.
UGAACUCGCAGCCAUAGCAACCGCCAACUUAGAAGUGGUACCAAAACUUCUGAGGAAGUCGCGCCAUGUGUGGCUAAAAAAUGUAGAUUUAAAAAUAAAACACAAGCCCAGCAGCGUGCCUUUUCACUUCCGAAAGACAAACAGCGAUUAAAAAGUCCGAGCGGAGACGAGGACGCACAAGAGAUGGGCUUCUCUUCCAAUGCUGAUUGGUCAGAGGAAUUCGGUGCGCGUUCACGUGCGCGCGUGAGGGUUCGUCUUUUUUUCCGUUGUGGACAUUUUGUUCUGGCUUCAACCUAAACAAGGCCAAGAUUAUUUUUGGAGAUGCUGUUAUAUGUUAGUUGGCUACAAACUGGAUGACAGUCAUCUAAACUCACUCAGAAGUUUCUGGAAAACAGUAACCCUUGGCUCACUACGUCUUUUUCCUCCGUAGAAACUCCCCUGCGGUGUUUUUUUUAACAAAGGCGAUGGUUAAUAGAACUUGAUUUUUUUUUUUUUGUUUAAAUAGCUCGAAAUGUUUACGCUAUAGGUUGAGAGUUUCAAGGUUAAAAGCGAAACAUUUUAUAAGGCAUGGAUGACACUUGAAGAUUCCCCACAGUCAGAUGCUGGUAAUGAGAGGUGACUUUAGGCAUUAAGGCAAGAAAUCCAAAGAGUUGGCAAAAAUGAAGUAAAAAAACAGUAGGGGAGCCUGGGGGUGAUUGGAACACUUACAGCUCGCAGAAUAUUUGGGCCACGAUUCUUACACUUUGGCAUAAAAUAGCCUUAUGUACCCACUGCAAGUAGAAAUGUUUGUAACCUGUUCAACUUUCUCAGGCAAUUAAUUACCUGAUGCAUAACACAAGGAGUUCUAUUGUUCAUAGCCUGCCUCACUGCUGGGAUAGUAGUAACACAACCUGGGGUAAAUUAUAACAAUUAGAGUAAAAAAAAUCAAAAUUGAGACCAUAUGCAUCUUAGUCGUUUUAUUGUGCAUUGCUUCAGUAGUUUUAAGGUCUUCAUCUAGGUCAAAAAGCUCCCACCUCUGACUUUUAAAUCUGAGUCAGCUCUUGUCAGAAAAUGUGCAGUAGAAGCAGUAACAGAAGAACAAUGUAAUUGUAUUUCCCCCAAGAGUAGUCAUGUUUUUCUCACCCACUGUCCUGGCACCCAAAAAAAGUAAAAAGAAAAGAAAAAUCCAAAAAAAAAAGGACAUGGGAAACUGUUUUUCUUUGUCAUCAUGGGGAUAGUUUUAAUACUUUUAAAAUAGGUGUUAAGACCACCCCACCCAUUUCAACCAUUGUUUAGCCAGCUGGAGCACCAUGGGGGUCUGAAAUUAGCAUAGGUUAAAUGCCUCACAUUUUACCCAAGACACUGCUUUUUAAAAUUAC